Molecule: non-coding RNA, 25 nt
Filed under: Drosophila melanogaster (fruit fly)
Lineage: Eukaryota; Metazoa; Arthropoda; Insecta; Diptera; Drosophilidae
Also listed under: 3 other names
Source: RNAcentral
AUGGUGUAAUGGUUAGCACUCUGGA